RNAcentral lists this ribosomal RNA (1373 nucleotides) under uncultured bacterium. Its description in RNAcentral is "bacterial SSU rRNA". It matches the Rfam family "Bacterial small subunit ribosomal RNA", at positions 29 to 1393 of the family's 1533-position model. The record is from RNAcentral.
UUGAACGCUGGCGGUAUGCUUAACACAUGCAAGUCGAACGGAAACGAUACUAGCUUGCUAGUAGGCGUCGAGUGGCGGACGGGUGAGUAACGCGUAGGAAUCUGCCUGAUAGUGGGGGAUAGCCCGAAGAAAUUCGGAUUAAUACCGCAUAAUCUAUUCGUAGUAAAGUGGGGGACUUUCGAGCCUCACGCUAUCAGAUGAGCCUGCGUAAGAUUAGCUAGUUGGUAGGGUAAAAGCCUACCAAGGCGACGAUCUUUAGCUGGUCUGAGAGGAUGAUCAGCCACAUCGGGACUGAGACACGGCCCGAACUCCUACGGGAGGCAGCAGUGGGGAAUAUUGGACAAUGGGGGCAACCCUGAUCCAGCAAUACCGCGUGUGUGAAGAAGGCCUGAGGGUUGUAAAGCACUUUCAAUUGUGAAGAAAAGUUAGCGGUUAAUAACCGUUAGCCUUGACGUUAACUUUAGAAGAAGCACCGGCUAACUCCGUGCCAGCAGCCGCGGUAAUACGGAGGGUGCAAGCGUUAAUCGGAAUUACUGGGCGUAAAGCGUGCGUAGGCGGUUUAUUAAGUCAGAUGUGAAAGCCCCGGGCUUAACCUGGGAACUGCAUUUGAAACUGGUCAACUAGAGUAUGGUAGAGGAAAGUGGAAUUUCUGGUGUAGCGGUGAAAUGCGUAGAUAUCAGAAGGAACAUCAAUGGCGAAGGCAGCUUUCUGGACCAAUACUGACGCUGAGGUACGAAAGCGUGGGUAGCAAACAGGAUUAGAUACCCUGGUAGUCCACGCCGUAAACGAUGAUAACUAGCCGUUGGGGGGAUUUACCCUUUAGUGGCGAAGCUAACGCGUUAAGUUAUCCGCCUGGGGAGUACGGCCGCAAGGUUAAAACUCAAAGGAAUUGACGGGGACCCGCACAAGCGGUGGAGCAUGUGGUUUAAUUCGAUGCAACGCGAAGAACCUUACCUGGUCUUGACAUCCUGCGAACUUUCUAGAAAUAGAUUGGUGCCUUCGGGAACGCAGUGACAGGUGCUGCAUGGCUGUCGUCAGCUCGUGUCGUGAGAUGUUGGGUUAAGUCCCGUAACGAGCGCAACCCCUAUCCUUAUUUGCCAGCACAUCAUGGUGGGAACUAUAAGGAGACUGCCGGUGAUAAACCGGAGGAAGGCGGGGACGACGUCAAGUCAUCAUGGCCCUUACGACCAGGGCUACACACGUGCUACAAUGGGAAGGACAAAGAGCCGCGAAGCCGCGAGGUGUAGCUAAUCUCAUAAACCUUUUCGUAGUCCGGAUUGGAGUCUGCAACUCGACUCCAUGAAGUCGGAAUCGCUAGUAAUCGUAGAUCAGAAUGCUACGGUGAAUACGUUCCCGGGUCUUGUACUCACCGC